This 253-nucleotide ribosomal RNA is filed under the name uncultured bacterium. RNAcentral's name for it is "partial 16S ribosomal RNA". It matches the Rfam family "Bacterial small subunit ribosomal RNA", at positions 524 to 776 of the family's 1533-position model. The record is from RNAcentral.
UACGUAGGGUGCGAGCGUUGUCCGGAAUUAUUGGGCGUAAAGGGCUCGUAGGCGGUUUGUCGCGUCGGGAGUGAAAUCCACUGGCUUAACUGGUGGCUUGCUUUCGAUACGGGCAGACUGGAGGUAUGCAGGGGAGAACGGAAUUCCUGGUGUAGCGGUGAAAUGCGCAGAUAUCAGGAGGAACACCGAUGGCGAAGGCAGGUCUCUGGGCCGCAACUGACGCUGAGGAGCGAAAGCAUGGGGAGCGAACAGG